RNAcentral lists this unclassified non-coding RNA (337 nucleotides) under soil metagenome. RNAcentral's name for it is "partial contains 5.8S ribosomal RNA, internal transcribed spacer 2, and large subunit ribosomal RNA". The stretch from base 1 to 120 matches the Rfam family "5.8S ribosomal RNA", at positions 35 to 154 of the family's 154-position model. The record is from RNAcentral.
GAUGAAGAACGUAGCGAAAUGCGAUAAGUAGUGUGAAUUGCAGAAUUCAGUGAAUCAUCGAAUCUUUGAACGCACAUUGCGCCCCUUGGUAUUCCAUGGGGCAUGCCUGUUCGAGCGUCAUUUGUACCUUCAAGCUCUGCUUGGUGUUGGGUGUUUGUCUCGCCUCUGCGUGUAGACUCGCCUCAAAACAAUUGGCAGCCGGCGUAUUGAUUUCGGAGCGCAGUACAUCUCGCGCUUUGCACUCAUAACGACGACGUCCAAAAGUACAUUUUUACACUCUUGACCUCGGAUCAGGUAGGGAUACCCGCUGAACUUAAGCAUAUCAUUAAGCGGAGGA